Molecule: long non-coding RNA, 1254 nt
Filed under: Homo sapiens (human)
Lineage: Eukaryota; Metazoa; Chordata; Mammalia; Primates; Hominidae
Description: small nucleolar RNA host gene 7
Rfam family: Small nucleolar RNA SNORA17 (bases 233-364)
Source: RNAcentral
CAGCCAGGAAGCUUCGGGAAGCCUGGACGUCUGCUCACUGGAGAUGACACGUGCGUGGGGUGUUGGGUAAGUUGGUGCAUUGGAGCUGGAACAGGGUCAAUCCUCCAAUGUAACUAAGCCCUCCUGUGCAACAUCUUAAGUGACUGGAGGGACCAGUCGGUCUUGUGUUCACAUUGAGGCUAGAAGCUGUCUCCAGGGGAGUAAAAACGGAUUAUUUAGUCUUCAACAGGACACUGCCCCUAGAGGCGUUGCAGCUGUGGCUGCCGUGUCACAUCUGUGUCAUUAGGUGGCAGAGAUUAGAGAGGCUAUGUCUACGCUCAGCGUUCUGCCCCGUGAACGUUUGAAUGUUUGAUAGUCUCACACUCCUGUUUUGUGGACAGGCAUCUGUUUUCCUUCGCUGGUAUCUGGGAGAGAGGGUGGGCCCUGUGAGUGGGCUUUCUAACUCUCGCGCUGGGCUAGGCUGGCCUCUAGGGGUCUGAAGGGAUAGUGGGAAGGUGGAGGGUGCCUUCACCAGGAGCAGCCUUCAUGAGUGAGUUUUAAGAACCUGUGAGGAUCGGUCAGGUCAGGUGAGGUACGCGCUGGAUCAUGCCGUACACCGUGUCAGGAUCACGCAGGACAGGACUGGGGAAGGGUUUGCUGGCGUCUCGGUUAAUAGCAGUAACGGCAGCCGCUUGUGUUCUUGAUUCUUUGCCAAGCAUUCUUGUUAUUUAACACGGGAAGGAGGUGACUUCGCCUGUGAUGGACUUCCAGUGUGAGCACUGGCCAGAGUGACCAGGCUGACCAGCACCAGCCCUGAUCCAGAUGCAGAGGCCAGGAUGUGGGCCCAGCCCUGUGCCAGGAGGCUGGCUGGAAUAAAGGUACAGAUAGAGGCCUCACCCCCUCUGGGACCACUGGCACUCAGGGUGUUUGCAGCCUCAGAGCCCACCUGCCCCCAGGGCCACAGCUGCAUCUCCUGCCCUGCUGUCAUUACAGGGAUGGGCAGGCUGGCAUGGGGGCAGCCGCUGCCCCUGCCUGGGUGUUGCUGUGUAUUCCUGCCGGCCAGGGGCCACUGCCAGGACCACGCCUCCCUUUUCAUAUCCCGAUUCUUAAGUUCUGCUAUUGUGGUAUUCUGGUGGAGAAAAAAGAACCGCGUGGCUGUUUUUGAACUGCCUGGAACCUAAGACCCUGAAUUCUUUUCCCCCCCAAGGGGAAAAUCUAUAUGGAAAACAUUUAUUUUAAAAUACAGGAUGAAGUGAAUUAAAAGAUUUAAAUGCA